This 253-nucleotide ribosomal RNA is filed under the name uncultured bacterium. RNAcentral describes it as "partial 16S ribosomal RNA". It matches the Rfam family "Bacterial small subunit ribosomal RNA", at positions 524 to 776 of the family's 1533-position model. The record is from RNAcentral.
UACGAAGGGGGCUAGCGUUGUUCGGAAUUACUGGGCGUAAAGGGCGCGUAGGCGGCUUGGUAAGUUGGACGUGAAAGGCCUGGGCUCAACCUGGGACAUGCGUUCAAAACUGCUGGGCUCGAGUGUGGGAGAGGAUGGUGGAAUUCCCAGUGUAGAGGUGAAAUUCGUAGAUAUUGGGAAGAACACCGGUGGCGAAGGCGGCCAUCUGGACCACAACUGACGCUGAGGCGCGAAAGCGUGGGGAGCAAACAGG